ACUCAAAUGAAUUGACGGGGGCUCACACAAGCGGUGGAGCAUGUGGCUCAAUUCGAGGCUACGCGAAGAACCUUAUCCUGGGCUUGACAUGUGCGAAAGCGUUGGGAAGUAGCUGCCGGAAACGGUAAGCCAACGGUAUCCAGUCCGGAACCCAAUACAGGUGCUGCAUGGCUGUCGUCAGCUCGUGUCGUGAGAUGUUGGGUUAAGUCCCCUAACGAGCGAAACCCUUGUCUCCAGUUGCCAGCGGGUAAAGCCGGGGACUCUGGAGAGACUGCCGGUGUAAACCGGAGGAAGGCGGGGAUGACGUCAAGUCCUCAUGGCCUUUAUGCCCAGGGCUGCACACGUGCUACAAUGGCGUGAACAAAGGGACGCAAACCCGCGAGGGGGAGCCAAUCUCAAAAAACACGCCCCAGUUCAGAUUGAAGGCUGCAACUCGCCUUCAUGAAGUUGGAAUCGCUAGUAAUCGCAGGUCAGCAACACUGCGGUGAAUGUGUUCCUGAGCCUUGCACACACCGCCCGU
RNAcentral lists this ribosomal RNA (520 nucleotides) under uncultured bacterium. RNAcentral describes it as "partial 16S ribosomal RNA". It matches the Rfam family "Bacterial small subunit ribosomal RNA", at positions 899 to 1397 of the family's 1533-position model. The record is from RNAcentral.